RNAcentral lists this long non-coding RNA (224 nucleotides) under Lathyrus oleraceus (garden pea). RNAcentral's name for it is "Pisum sativum (pea) long non-coding RNA (PSAT_LNC022295)". The record is from RNAcentral. Lineage: Eukaryota; Viridiplantae; Streptophyta; Magnoliopsida; Fabales; Fabaceae.
CUAGCUUACUAAAUACGACCCUCUGAGGUCGAAUCCGAACCCAAAAUUCCCUAACCCAAGCUCAAACCUUCUAGAUCGGAGCAAGAACCAAACGAUCUAGAACUUCUCCGACCUCUAAACCCUUAACACAAAAUCAAGGCUUUUGCAUGUCGCAAUUUAAGGGAAAUAAUGGGGAUUCGUUCUACUUACCACGGCGAAGGAGGUGGAAAGACGAUUUCAGGCGA